UGUUAUAGUACAGUUUCAUCACAGAACCCCUUCCCUUUCUUUCUUACUUAGAUUAGAGAGGGGAAUGGCCACUAGUUUAAAUUUCUAGUAUGGUUAACAAAAGCUAGCUAGAAAUAUAUAUUUCAAUUUAAUGAUGAUGCAAGGGUUGGUCCUACUAUUAUGUAUACUUGUAUAAUGUGGAUCUAAGAACACCAACAAUAAGAAUAUUUCCCCCACCUUCAAG
Molecule: long non-coding RNA, 223 nt
Filed under: Lupinus angustifolius (narrow-leaved blue lupine)
Lineage: Eukaryota; Viridiplantae; Streptophyta; Magnoliopsida; Fabales; Fabaceae
Description: long non-coding RNA (LANG_LNC001344)
Source: RNAcentral